GCCAGCAUAGUGUAGUGAUUUGAACAUUGAACUGUGACUCUGGAGAUCAGGGUUCAAUUCCCUGUGCAGACA
Phrynosoma platyrhinos (Desert horned lizard) is the source of this 72-nucleotide non-coding RNA. Lineage: Eukaryota; Metazoa; Chordata; Lepidosauria; Squamata; Phrynosomatidae. The record is from the annotation of a GenBank genome assembly.